This 200-nucleotide ribosomal RNA is filed under the name uncultured bacterium. Its description in RNAcentral is "partial 16S ribosomal RNA". It matches the Rfam family "Bacterial small subunit ribosomal RNA", at positions 30 to 228 of the family's 1533-position model. The record is from RNAcentral.
AUUGAACGCUGGCGGCGUGCCUAACACAUGCAAGUCGAGCGGUAACAGGUGUAGCAAUACAUGCUGACGAGCGGCGGACGGGUGAGUAACGCUUGGGAAUCUGCCUGUUAGUGGGGGACAACACGGGGAAACUCGUGCUGAUACCGCAUACGCACUACGGUGGAAAGCCGGGGACCGCAAGGCCUGGCGCUAACAGAUGA